GAUGAACGCUGGCGGCGUGCCUAAUACAUGCAAGUCGAGCGAACAGACGAGGAGCUUGCUCCUCUGACGUUAGCGGCGGACGGGUGAGUAACACGUGGAUAACCUACCUAUAAGACUGGGAUAACUUCGGGAAACCGGAGCUAAUACAGGAUAAUAUAUUGAACCGCAUGGUUCAAUAGUGAAAGACGGUUUUGCUGUCACUUAUAGAUGGAUCCGCGCCGCAUUAGCUAGUUGGUAAGGUAACGGCUUACCAAGGCAACGAUGCGUAGCCGACCUGAGAGGGUGAUCGGCCACACUGGAACUGAGACACGGUCCAGACUCCUACGGGAGGCAGCAGUAGGGAAUCUUCCGCAAUGGGCGAAAGCUUGACGGAGCGACGCCGCGUGAGUGAUGAAGGUCUUCGGAUCGUAAAACUCUGUUAUUAGGGAAGAACAAAUGUGUAAGUAACUAUGCACGUCUUGACGGUACCUAAUCAGAAAGCCACGGCUAACUACGUG
Molecule: ribosomal RNA, 497 nt
Filed under: uncultured bacterium
Lineage: Bacteria
Description: partial 16S ribosomal RNA
Rfam family: Bacterial small subunit ribosomal RNA
Source: RNAcentral